This 233-nucleotide long non-coding RNA is filed under the name Trifolium pratense (red clover). Its description in RNAcentral is "long non-coding RNA (TPRA_LNC014192)". Lineage: Eukaryota; Viridiplantae; Streptophyta; Magnoliopsida; Fabales; Fabaceae. The record is from RNAcentral.
UUCAACGAUGGCAGUGUAAUGUAGCCUGGCCACUCAGCUACUGUAGAGACUUGGUGUGACUGCACGCUACAGUGAUUGCUGCACGCUACAGUACUGGCUGCACUCUACGAUGACAACUGUAAUUUGUGUCCUUUGUAUUAAGACAUGUCUCUUUCAUGUAGUAUUUUAGUUGUCCUUGUGUAUUGCUUUUAGCACGUUUGUGCAGUAGUAAUGUGAAAUGAAAUUUAACUUUA